This 2030-nucleotide ribosomal RNA is filed under the name Listeria monocytogenes ATCC 19115. RNAcentral's name for it is "bacterial LSU rRNA". It matches the Rfam family "Bacterial large subunit ribosomal RNA", at positions 901 to 2925 of the family's 2925-position model. Lineage: Bacteria; Bacillati; Bacillota; Bacilli; Caryophanales; Listeriaceae. The record is from RNAcentral.
CGACGUGCCCUGGAAGUGGACUAGGGGCCCUUCUCGGGUUACCGAAUUCAGAUGAACUCCGAAUGCCAUGUACUUAUACUCGGGAGUCAGACUGCGAGUGAUAAGAUCCGUAGUCGAAAGGGAAACAGCCCAGACCACCAGUUAAGGUCCCCAAAUAUAUGUUAAGUGGAAAAGGAUGUGGGGUUGCUUAGACAACCAGGAUGUUGGCUUAGAAGCAGCCACCAUUGAAAGAGUGCGUAAUAGCUCACUGGUCGAGUGACCCCGCGCCGAAAAUGUACCGGGGCUAAACAUAUUACCGAAACUGUGGAUGAACCUCUUCGGAGGUUCGUGGUAGGAGAGCGUUCUAAGGGCGGUGAAGUCAGACCGGAAGGACUGGUGGAGCGCUUAGAAGUGAGAAUGCCGGUAUGAGUAGCGAAAGAAGGGUGAGAAUCCCUUCCACCGAAUAUCUAAGGUUUCCUGAGGAAGGCUCGUCCGCUCAGGGUUAGUCGGGACCUAAGCCGAGGCCGAUAGGCGUAGGCGAUGGACAACAGGUAGAGAUUCCUGUACCAGUGCUAAUUGUUUAACCGAUGGGGUGACACAGAAGGAUAGGGAAUCGCACGAAUGGAAAUGUGCGUCCAAGCAGUGAGUGUGAGAAGUAGGCAAAUCCGCUUCUCGCGAAGCAUGAGCUGUGAUGGGGAAGGAAAUUAAGUACGGAAGUUCCUGAUUUCACGCUGUCAAGAAAAGCCUCUAGGAAGAGUAGUACUGCCCGUACCGCAAACCGACACAGGUAGAUGAGGAGAGAAUCCUAAGGUGAGCGAGAGAACUCUCGUUAAGGAACUCGGCAAAAUGACCCCGUAACUUCGGGAGAAGGGGUGCUCUAUUAGGGUGCAAGCCCGAGAGAGCCGCAGUGAAUAGGCCCAGGCGACUGUUUAGCAAAAACACAGGUCUCUGCAAAACCGUAAGGUGACGUAUAGGGGCUGACGCCUGCCCGGUGCUGGAAGGUUAAGAGGAGUGCUUAGCUUCGGCGAAGGUACGAAUUGAAGCCCCAGUAAACGGCGGCCGUAACUAUAACGGUCCUAAGGUAGCGAAAUUCCUUGUCGGGUAAGUUCCGACCCGCACGAAAGGCGCAACGAUCUGGGCACUGUCUCAACGAGAGACUCGGUGAAAUUAUAGUACCUGUGAAGAUGCAGGUUACCCGCGACAGGACGGAAAGACCCCGUGGAGCUUUACUGCAACCUGAUAUGGAAUGUUUGUACCGCUUGUACAGGAUAGGUAGGAGCCGAAGAGACGUGUGCGCUAGCAUACGAGGAGGCAAUGGUGGGAUACUACCCUGGCUGUAUGACCAUUCUAACCCGCCACGCUUAGCGCGUGGGGAGACAGUGUCAGGUGGGCAGUUUGACUGGGGCGGUCGCCUCCUAAAGAGUAACGGAGGCGCCCAAAGGUUCCCUCAGAAUGGAUGGAAAUCAUUCGCAGAGUGUAAAGGCACAAGGGAGCUUGACUGCGAGACUGACAAGUCGAGCAGGGACGAAAGUCGGGCUUAGUGAUCCGGUGGUUCCGCAUGGAAGGGCCAUCGCUCAACGGAUAAAAGCUACCCCGGGGAUAACAGGCUUAUCUCCCCCAAGAGUCCACAUCGACGGGGAGGUUUGGCACCUCGAUGUCGGCUCGUCGCAUCCUGGGGCUGUAGUCGGUCCCAAGGGUUGGGCUGUUCGCCCAUUAAAGCGGCACGCGAGCUGGGUUCAGAACGUCGUGAGACAGUUCGGUCCCUAUCCGUCGCGGGCGCAGGAAAUUUGAGAGGAGCUGUCCUUAGUACGAGAGGACCGGGAUGGACACACCGCUGGUGUACCAGUUGUUCCGCCAGGAGCAUCGCUGGGUAGCUAUGUGUGGCAGGGAUAAACGCUGAAAGCAUCUAAGCGUGAAGCCCCCCUCAAGAUGAGAUUUCCCAUUUCUUCGGAAAGUAAGAUCCCUGAAAGAUGAUCAGGUAGAUAGGUUUGGAGUGGAAGUGUAGCGAUACAUGGAGCGGACAAAUACUAAUCGAUCGAGGACUUAACCAA